GGAAAGCUUCAGAGACCCAGAAUUCUGGUAUGUUGAGCAAGGUAUCGCUGCACCAGACUGCGAUGGCUCUGCCUCCUUCAGGGUGGCUUUCCACCGCCGUGAUGAGAAGUGGUGGCUCCCGGUGCCUUCACAACAAAACAAGGAAGCAGCUCCAACACAAGCGUGAUUGUGCAAACCAAAUCCUGAAGGCUGCCAUGGCCAUCAACAGCAAUACUUUAGCAGAGAUGGAGGUCGCUGAACCUUAUCUUGACUCCCUACCAAAGAAUGGACGGUCAACCUUAGGUGAUAUCAUAUACCGCUACAUAACCUCUGAUCAGUUCUCCCCUGAGUGCCUUCUUGAUUGCCUGGAUCUGUCCACGGAGUACCAGGCCCUGGAAGUCGCAAACCGUGUUGAGGCGUCAGUGUAUGUGUGGCGCCGGAGGGUUGCUGCCAAACCAGUAAAUGGAUUGGGCCGAAGCAGCAGUGCUAGAUCAUCAUGGGGCAUGGUAAAGGACAUGAUGGUAGACUCGGAGAAGAGAGAGCUGCUGCUAGCUGAACAAGCAGAUCUAUAA
This is an RNA transcript of Zea mays, 551 nucleotides long. It is a transcript of the gene named rop guanine nucleotide exchange factor pseudogene, with no coding region annotated. The transcript has 2 exons. The record is from RefSeq and is marked validated. NCBI's taxonomy places the organism in Eukaryota, Viridiplantae, Streptophyta, Magnoliopsida, Poales, Poaceae.